UGUAGGGGAAAGGCCUACCAAGACGAUGAUUGGUAGCUGAAUGAGAGGUGAACAGCCACAUUGGAUUGAGACACGGCCCAAACUCCUACGGGAGGCAGCAGUAGGGAAUUUUCGGCAAUGGAGGAAACUUUGACCGAGCAACGCCGCGUGAAUGACGAAGUACUUCGGUAUGUAAAGUUCUUUAUCAAGGAAGAAAAGCAAAUGGCGAACCAUUUGUUUGCCGGUACUUGAUGAAUAAGCCCCGGCUAAUUAUGUGCCAGCAGCCGCGGUAAGACAUAAGGGGCAAGUGUUAUCCGGAAUUAUUGGGCGUAAAGGGUGCGUAGGCGGUCUAGUAAGUCAGUGGUGUAAUGGCAACGCUUAACGUUGUCCGGCUAUUGAAACUGCUAAACUUGAGUUAGAUAGAGGCGAGUGGAAUUCCAUGUGUAGCGGUAAAAUGCGUAAAUAUAUGGAGGAACACCAGAGGCGUAGGCGGCUCGCUGGGUCUUAACUGACGCUGAGGCACGAAAGCGUGGGGAGCAAACAGGAUUAGAUACCCUGGUAGUCCACGCCGUAAACGAUGAGUACUAAGUGUCGGGUUAAACCGGUACUGAAGUUAACACAUUAAGUACUCCGCCUGAGUAGUACGUACGCAAGUAUGAAACUUAAAGGAAUUGACGGGACUCCGCACAAGCGGUGGAUCAUGUUGUUUAAUUCGAAGAUACCCGAAAAACCUUACCAGGUCUUGACAUGUUUUUGCAAAAUGAUAGUAAUAUCGUGGAGGUUACCAGAAACACAGGUGGUGCAUGGUUGUCGUCAGCUCGUGUCGUGAGAUGUUAGGUUAAGUCCUAAAACGAGCGAAACCCUUAUCGUUAGUUGCCAGCACGUUAUGGUGGGGACUUUAACGAGACUGCCAAUGAUAAAUUGGAGGAAGGUGAGGAUCACGUCAAAUCAGCAUGCCCCUUAUGACCUGGGCUACAAACGUGAUACAAUGGCUGUUACAAAGGGUAGCUGAAACGCAAGUUCUUGGCCAAUCCCCAAAAACAGUCCCAGUCCGGAUUGAAGUCUGCAACUCGACUUCAUGAAGUUGGAAUCGGCUAGUAAUCGCGAAUCAGCAC
RNAcentral lists this ribosomal RNA (1094 nucleotides) under 'Fagopyrum esculentum' phyllody phytoplasma. Its description in RNAcentral is "bacterial SSU rRNA". It matches the Rfam family "Bacterial small subunit ribosomal RNA", at positions 251 to 1355 of the family's 1533-position model. Lineage: Bacteria; Bacillati; Mycoplasmatota; Mollicutes; Acholeplasmatales; Acholeplasmataceae. The record is from RNAcentral.